UAGUCCACGCCCUAAACGAUGUACACUAGUUGUUGUGAGGCUAGACCUUGCAGUAAUGCAGUUAACACAUUAAGUGUACCGCCUGGGGAGUAUGGUCGCAAGAUUAAAACUCAAAGGAAUAGACGGGGACCCGCACAAGCGGUGGAGCAUGUGGUUUAAUUCGACGAUACGCGAAGAACCUUACCUGGACUUGACAUAGAAAGAAUAACGCAGAGAUGUGAUAGUGCUAGCUUGCUAGAACUUCCAUACAGGUGCUGCACGGCUGUCGUCAGCCCGUGCCGUGAGGUGUUGGGUUAAGUCCCGCAACGAGCGCAACCCCUAUUCUUAGUUGCCAGCACGUAAUGGUGGGGACUCUAAGGAGACUGCCUGCGCAAGCAGAGAGGAAGGUGGGGACGACGUCAAGUCAUCAUGGCCCUUACGCCCAGGGCUACACACGUGCUACAAUGGAGUGCACAGAGGGUAGCGACACGGUAACGUGAAGCCAAUCUC
Molecule: ribosomal RNA, 489 nt
Filed under: uncultured bacterium
Lineage: Bacteria
Description: bacterial SSU rRNA
Rfam family: Bacterial small subunit ribosomal RNA
Source: RNAcentral